GAAUAUUGGACAAUGGGCGAAAGCCUGAUCCAGCCAUGCCGCGUGUGUGAAGAAGGUCUUCGGAUUGUAAAGCACUUUAAGUUGGGAGGAAGGGCAGUAAGCGAAUACCUUGCUGUUUUGACGUUACCGACAGAAUAAGCACCGGCUAACGCUGGGCCAGCAGCCGCGGGAAGACAGAGGGGUCAAGGGUUAAUCGGAAUUACUGGGGGUAAAGGGCGGGGAGGGGGGUCGUUAAGUUGGAUGUGAAAUCCCCGGGCUCAACCUGGGAACUGCAUCCAAAACUGGCGAGCUAGAGUAGGGCAGAGGGUGGUGGAAUUUCCUGUGUAGCGGUGAAAUGCGUAGAUAUAGGAAGGAACACCAGUGGCGAAGGCGACCACCUGGGCUCAUACUGACACUGAGGUGCGAAAGCGUGGGGAGCAAACAG
This 424-nucleotide ribosomal RNA is filed under the name uncultured bacterium. RNAcentral's name for it is "partial 16S ribosomal RNA". It matches the Rfam family "Bacterial small subunit ribosomal RNA", at positions 359 to 775 of the family's 1533-position model. The record is from RNAcentral.